UGGGGGAUAUUGCACAAUGGGCGAAAGCCUGAUGCAGCGACGCCGCGUGGGGGAUGAAGGCUUUCGGGUUGUAAACCUCUUUCGCUAUCGAACAAGGCCCGCUUAGGGUGGGUUGAGGGUAGGUGGAGAAGAAGCGCCGGCUAACUACGUGCCAGCAGCCGCGGUAAUACGUAGGGCGCGAGCGUUGUCCGGAAUUAUUGGGCGUAAAGGGCUUGUAGGCGGCUUGUUGCGCCUGCUGUGAAAACGCGGGGCUUAACUUCGCGCGUGCAGUGGGUACGGGCAGGCUUGAGUGUAGUAGGGGUGACUGGAAUUCCAGGUGUAGCGGUGGAAUGCGCAGAUAUCUGGAGGAACACCGAUGGCGAAGGCAGGUCACUGGGCCAUUACUGACGCUGAGGAGCGAAAGCAUGGGUAGCGAACAGG
Molecule: ribosomal RNA, 420 nt
Filed under: bacterium
Lineage: Bacteria
Description: partial 16S ribosomal RNA
Rfam family: Bacterial small subunit ribosomal RNA
Source: RNAcentral